Molecule: ribosomal RNA, 274 nt
Filed under: uncultured bacterium
Lineage: Bacteria
Description: partial 16S ribosomal RNA
Rfam family: Bacterial small subunit ribosomal RNA
Source: RNAcentral
AUACGGAGGGUGCAAGCGUUACUCGGAAUCACUGGGCGUAAAGCGCGCGCAGGCGGGCUGAUAAGUUGGAUGUGAAAGCCUACGGCUCAACCGUAGAACUGCAUCCAAAACUGUCAGUCUAGAGUCUGCGAGGGGAAGAUGGAAUUAGUGGUGUAGGGGUAAAAUCCGUAGAGAUAACUAGGAAUACCAAAAGCGAAGGCGAUCUUCUGGAACAGUACUGACGCUGAGGCGCGAAAGCGUGGGGAGCAAACAGGAUUAGAAACCCUAGUAGUCC